This 460-nucleotide ribosomal RNA is filed under the name uncultured bacterium. RNAcentral describes it as "partial 16S ribosomal RNA". It matches the Rfam family "Bacterial small subunit ribosomal RNA", at positions 338 to 795 of the family's 1533-position model. The record is from RNAcentral.
CCUACGGGAGGUAGCAGUGAGGAAUAUUGGUCAAUGGGCGGGAGCCUGAACCAGCCAAGUCGCGUGAGGGAAGACGGUCCUAUGGAUUGUAAACCUCUUUAGGCGGGGAGCAAUGCCGGGCACGCGUGCCCGGAGGGAGAGUACCCGCAGAAUCAGCAUCGGCUAACUCCGUGCCAGCAGCCGCGGUAAUACGGAGGAUGCGAGCGUUAUCCGGAUUUAUUGGGUUUAAAGGGUGCGUAGGCGGAUUUUUAAGUCAGCGGUAAAAUGUCCGGGCUCAACCCGGGCCGGCCGUUGAUACUGGGGAUCGUGAGGGGGCGAGAGGUAUGCGGAAUGCGUGGUGUAGCGGUGAAAUGCAUAGAUAUCACGCAGAACUCCGAUUGCGAAGGCAGCAUACCGGCGCCCGACUGACGCUGAGGCACGAAAGCGUGGGGAUCGAACAGGAUUAGAUACCCGAGUAGUC